CCUACGGGGGGCUGCAGUGGGGAAUAUUGGACAAUGGGCGAAAGCCUGAUCCAGCCAUGCCGCGUGUGUGAAGAAGGCCUUCGGGUUGUAAAGCACUUUCAGUGGGGAAGAAAGCCUUGGGGCUAAUACCCUCGAGGAAGGACAUCACCCACAGAAGAAGCACCGGCUAACUCCGGGCCAGCAGCCGCGGUAAUACGGAGGGUGCGAGCGUUAAUCGGAAUUACUGGGCGUAAAGCGCGCGUAGGCGGUCUGAUAAGCCGGUUGUGAAAGCCCCGGGCUCAACCUGGGAACGGCAUCCGGAACUGUCAGGCUAGAGUGCAGGAGAGGAAGGUAGAAUUCCCGGUGUAGCGGUGAAAUGCGUAGAGAUCGGGAGGAAUACCAGUGGCGAAGGCGGCCUUCUGGACUGACACUGACGCUGAGGUGCGAAAGCGUGGGUAGCAAACAGGAUUAGAUACCCUUGUAGUC
Molecule: ribosomal RNA, 465 nt
Filed under: Vreelandella stevensii
Lineage: Bacteria; Pseudomonadati; Pseudomonadota; Gammaproteobacteria; Oceanospirillales; Halomonadaceae
Description: partial 16S ribosomal RNA
Rfam family: Bacterial small subunit ribosomal RNA
Source: RNAcentral